GGCGGGAUGUGCCGCGUAAGGUUGUACCUCGUUGCCGCUGAGGCGGAGAACGGAACGGCCGGUUGGUUCGGUUCCGAGUCUCGCCC
Molecule: transfer RNA, 86 nt
Filed under: Curtobacterium citreum
Lineage: Bacteria; Bacillati; Actinomycetota; Actinomycetes; Micrococcales; Microbacteriaceae
Description: tRNA-Gly
Source: RNAcentral